Molecule: long non-coding RNA, 1673 nt
Organism: Folsomia candida
Lineage: Eukaryota; Metazoa; Arthropoda; Collembola; Entomobryomorpha; Isotomidae
Exons: 2
Source: RefSeq, a predicted model, not a curated record
AUUUUACGUGUUUAAAUAGAUAAGUUGUAACUUAAAUCUUUCAUCAUACUCUUCUUUCCUGCCUCACCUUUCUUGCGCCUGUUUUCUCUAGAGCUUAGCUUUUUUUGUUUCUUUUUCGUUAUCGAGUUUGUAUUUGUCAACUUCCUGCUUGGCCAACCCUCUCUGACUUGUUUUGUUGGUUCAGUUAAUACGUUCAGAGUUGCAAACAACUGUAAAUCAUUGGUGGUUGUUGUUGAUUGCUUCCCUUGCAAACUGUUUUUGUAUAACUAUCCAUACCAUCAUGCUGCGGAUGCAAAGUUGACAACCAAACAUAAACAGGGGAGAACAUCCCAAGAGUGUUGACUGAGUGAUGACUUGAAUUUUGCAUGACUUGUUCUAUUUGAAGAAUUGUUCAUGAAACGCACAAGGAUCGGAUUUUCAAGUUAUUUUCCUUUUAUUUCUCAAGAGGGGUGAAGAAUGGGGCAAAUGACUUUCAUUCAACCUUAUGCAUAGUGCUCAUGCAUACAUAUUUGGUUCAAUGUAGGCUUUGAUGAAGGGCUAUUGUCUCAUUAAUAAUACUUGCAGCCCUGCUUUGGCAAUCAAAUUUUGAGAACAAUCAUAUAUGAACGUGUCAAAAUUAUCAGAAUAAUCUAGACAACUCUCAUUAAAAUCAUCACCACGUCAGUGCAAACUUAUGGACUCUGAAGUAUUGCAGAGAAAUAUAAACUACAUUGAUUUCCAAUUUGUUGAAAUGUACGCUCUUCAAACUAUUCUAAACAUGAAUAUCUAUCUACACAAGUUUAAAAUUCUACUGUAGUCAAGUCGGGCAUGUAUUCAAGUCGUCUAUUCAAUCAAUAAUAUAUACAUAUAUUCAUUAAAAUAUUUUAAUGUUUGCUUGUCAUCACGUUAUGUGGAAUACUCUUGAUUCACUAGCUAAAUUAAAGCACACAUGUAUUUAUGCACAUAUGUAUGAAUAGUGUUAUAAUUUAAGUAUACCUUUGGUUUCGGCAAUAGUUGAACGUUGAUUAUCGUCACCACAUUAUUUCCUUUAUACUUAAUUAUUCCUGCAUAUUACCUUCGCGUGUCGCAAAUACGCUUGUUAAAUAUUUAUACUGAGCUGUGGUCCACUACUGUAAAUCUUGUGUACAUAAAUAUCGAUCGAUUAAUUAAGUGUGGAUUUCAUAUCCCAAGGCAAAUGCCAGCUCUAAAGUGGACAGUAAAUAUCAAUAUAGAUAAUAAUGCAUCAUGCAAUCAUGGUAAAAUUAUUAUUCCUUUAAGAUUAAGCGACUGUCAUGAAUGGACUGCAUGCUAUUUACCUGAAUCCUAUUACAUACAAGAACUGGAAGACACUCAUCAUCCUUGAUUCUCUUUUAAUAAAUAUGUACAUGCAAUAGAAUGAACAUGUUUUCUUUGUGAAUUUACCUUUGCGUCAUGUAGAGCCUGGGCAGAUGGAAUGACUGGGGAUAUUGUUAUCCCCAUGGCCAGUUUGCUGCCAUUUUUAUCGACCCUUUUAAAUGCUAGACGACCGACCGGAAUGAUAAACUUAUCUGCAUUGUUUUAAAACCGCCUCACUUUCCCAUUAUUCGAAUAUGUAUGUAGUACUUACAAUUAGUUGUGAGUUCUUAGUUCCUAGUUGAUACAUGUACACCUUGGUUUGGAUGAAACGCAUGAAAUAAAUUUGGAUUUGUAUUGUG